CGUCGACUCCAAAACGUCACUGUAAUAUAAUAAUAUAAUCGUAAUCGAGUGCGAGUGUCGGUGGUGUGUUUUCAGCAGACAGAACCCAGAGAAGUGAACAGGCUGUCUUUACUGACGACCCCCCCCCCGCCUCAGGAUGGACAACGAUGUUAAAGGAACGGUGCAGAGAAGGUGAUCCUCUGCAGGUCCGCCGUGAAGCACGUUAGAGAAAUAUCAUCUGAAAGAAGAAAAGACCGUUCUCUUUCAAGAGUGAUGCGUCCGUGGCCGCGGCCCCAGUAUUUUGAGACAUUGGUUCGCCAUGACACCUGCAGCUGCCCUGGUUGGCCAUUUUGGAGUAAAGACACACUGAAGGGUGGAUCCAGGAGAUCUGGAGAAGAAACAUGACCGUUAAACGUGGGAGAAUCAGCCAACGCUGCAGUAACAAUCACGCCUCCUCCCUUGCGCCUCCUCUAUGGGUCUAAGGUAGAAAAAUAUUCCUUAUUGUUUUUUUUAUUAUUCAUUCCCACGAGACUUCAUUGGGUGGUACAUUGAUUUGAGGACCUCUUUGUUACACAGGGCACAAAUGGUCUGUUGUGGUUGGGGCCCGUAAUCUUGCAGAAAUUGAGAGCUUGGUCUUUUUUUUAGAAUUACUUUUAUUAUCAGUAAUGCUAGAGAAGUAUUGUCUAUUUACAAAAGGGUCCGUUGACAUCUCAGAUCCAGAGAGCAGAAUGGAGACGUGUACUAUUAGGUAUCCACGCCACCCGUUUCCCCUUUAAUGUUCAUGUUGGUCUCCAUAAUAACCAUUUCAUUGUAGUGAAACUCGUCAUACUGGUAUGAAAGUGCCUAUAGCCACAGGUAAUCUAAGCCUCGUGAAACUUUACAACCCUUAACUACAGAGUAGGUUUUAUUUAUGGCCUUUUCUUAGCAGUUUCCAGAACAAUUACGCAAAUACAGUCGUUAUAUCAGUUUUUCAAAUCAAAUCAGUGAGUGCAUCAUCUUGUGUUGAUGGAAGAAUAGUUGAUAUUUGUUUUUUCAUCAAUUCACAAGUAGUAACUUUAAAUUUAAAUCCAAACUUGGCAGCACAUUUAUGUAAUUAUUAGCUUUAGUAUUGUAUUGUUAGUAUAUUAUCUGCAACAACAUACAUUCUUGAAUAUCCAUCAUAAUGUUCGUAGAACACUUUCAAAAUGUAUUUUUAAAUAAUUGAUUAUUCAAAUGAUUUUUUUCUGAUUGAUAUUGAUAACUUAACACAUCAGGCUAAGACAUCUAACUGAAGGUUUGCAUCUAGUUCAUU
Long non-coding RNA from Pungitius pungitius (ninespine stickleback), 1270 nucleotides. RefSeq lists it as uncharacterized. The transcript is spliced from 3 exons. NCBI's taxonomy places the organism in Eukaryota, Metazoa, Chordata, Actinopteri, Perciformes, Gasterosteidae. The record is from RefSeq and is a predicted model, not a curated record.